GAUGAACGCUGGCGGCGUGCCUAAUACAUGCAAGUCGAAGGGAGUGGCGAACGGGUGAGUAACACGUGAGUAACCUGCCCUUUUCUUUGGGAUAAGCCUGGGAAACUGGGUCUAAUACUUGAUGGAUUGGGGUGGGCUCGGGGCUUAUCAGCUUGUUGGUGGGGUGAUGGCUUACCAAGGCUUUGACGGGUGGCCGGCAUGAAAGGGUGGUCGUUCACACUGGUACGGGGAUACGUCCCAGACUACUACGGGAGGCAGCAGUGGGGGAUAUUGCACAUUGGACGAAAGUCUGAUGCAGCGACGUCGUGUGGGGGAUGAAGGCCUUCGGGUUGUAAACUCCUUUCGCCCGCGGAAUGGUAGUGGGUAAAGAAGCGCCGGCUAACUACGUGCCAGCAGCCGCGGUAAUAC
This 408-nucleotide ribosomal RNA is filed under the name uncultured bacterium. Its description in RNAcentral is "partial 16S ribosomal RNA". It matches the Rfam family "Bacterial small subunit ribosomal RNA", at positions 28 to 526 of the family's 1533-position model. The record is from RNAcentral.